ACGCGGCGCGCGCCCAGCACGGGGGACAGCGGAGGGAUCAUUACCGAGUUUACAACUCCCAAACCCAAUGUGAACGUUACCAAACUGUUGCCUCGGCGGGAUCUCUGCCCCGGGUGCGUCGCAGCCCCGGACCAAGGCGCCCGCCGGAGGACCAACCAAAACUCUUAUUGUAUACCCCCUCGCGGGUUUUUUUAUAAUCUGAGCCUUCUCGGCGCCUCUCGUAGGCGUUUCGAAAAUGAAUCAAAACUUUCAACAACGGAUCUCUUGGUUCUGGCAUCGAUGAAGAACGCAGCGAAAUGCGAUAAGUAAUGUGAAUUGCAGAAUUCAGUGAAUCAUCGAAUCUUUGAACGCACAUUGCGCCCGCCAGUAUUCUGGCGGGCAUGCCUGUCCGAGCGUCAUUUCAACCCUCGAACCCCUCCGGGGGGUCGGCGUUGGGGAUCGGCCCUGCCUUGGCGGUGGCCGUCUCCGAAAUACAGUGGCGGUCUCGCCGCAGCCUCUCCUGCGCAGUAGUUUGCACACUCGCAUCGGGAGCGCGGCGCGUCCACAGCCGUUAAACACCCAACUUCUGAAAUGUUGACCUCGGAUCAGGUAGGAAUACCCGCUGAACUUAAGCAUAUCAAUAAGCGGAGGAAAAGAAACCAACAGGGAUUGCCCNUUUAACCGGCGAC
Molecule: small RNA, 668 nt
Filed under: Trichoderma lixii
Lineage: Eukaryota; Fungi; Ascomycota; Sordariomycetes; Hypocreales; Hypocreaceae
Description: eukaryotic LSU rRNA
Rfam family: 5.8S ribosomal RNA (bases 245-398)
Source: RNAcentral